This 83-nucleotide non-coding RNA is filed under the name fish gut metagenome. RNAcentral's name for it is "TPP riboswitch (THI element)". It matches the Rfam family "TPP riboswitch aptamer (THI element)", at positions 7 to 92 of the family's 105-position model. From Rfam's summary of the family: Vitamin B(1) in its active form thiamin pyrophosphate (TPP) is an essential coenzyme that is synthesised by coupling of pyrimidine and thiazole moieties in bacteria. The previously detected thiamin-regulatory element, thi box was extended, resulting in a new, highly conserved RNA secondary structure, the THI element, which is widely distributed in eubacteria and also occurs in some archaea. The record is from RNAcentral.
UUAGUCGGGGGGCCAUCAGGCUGAGAUCACUGAAAAGUGGGACCCGUUGAACCUGAACCAGUUAAUACUGGCGGAGGGAACUA